This is a long non-coding RNA of Stegostoma tigrinum, 784 nucleotides long. RefSeq lists it as uncharacterized. The transcript is spliced from 3 exons. The record is from RefSeq and is a predicted model, not a curated record. NCBI's taxonomy places the organism in Eukaryota, Metazoa, Chordata, Chondrichthyes, Orectolobiformes, Stegostomatidae.
CACCAGCUCCUCAAAGGCGAUUUCUUCUGGGGGUGUGUUACCUGUGUCUACCCAGGCAACACCAAGCACCAGGUGACAGGCCACAUGAGCAGUGAGAGAAUGUGCAAACUCCACACAGAACGUCGCCGAAGGCUGGAUUUGAACCCAGUUCCUUGGCAGUGUGAGGCGGCAGUGACACCCUUAAGGUUACCUUGAAGGAUUCUCCUUCUUAACCCCUCCCUUCUGGUUAAACCACCAACUCUCUGUCGAAUGAGAGCCCUAUGGUCUGAUCAAUAGCUUCUGAAAUGGCUUGGCAAAUUCUCUCAGGUAAAGGCAAGAAUGGAUGGGCAGCAAAUGCAUGCCUUGCCCCUGGCACCCACAUCCCGAGGAUUAAAUUUUUAAAUAUCAAUGCAUAAUCUAACCAAAUGCCAAAAUAGGACAAAGUGCAUCAUGACUUAUUGUGUUUGAUUAAGGUGUGGAAAAGUUCUAUUACGAUAUUAGGAGCUUUUUAGAAUUGAAGUCUUUAUGAGAAAUAAAAUAUCAUUGGAAAUUUCAUCAUAUCACUAACUUUUACGUUUUAACACAAUAUCAACUUUAAAUCACUCAGUUGAUUUUUCAGUUGUUUGUUGGUUUGCCAAGCUGACUGGUUUUCAUGCAAACCUUUUGUCUCCUUUCUAUGUGACAUUGCCAGUACUGUGUCACCUCCGGUGAAGCGCUGUUGUUCUAUCCUGCUCUGAAUUUAUACGGUCCAGUCUAUCAUGGUGGGCAGUCUUGUUUUUGCUUUUGUACAAUGGCGGUAUGUAGA